Molecule: long non-coding RNA, 727 nt
Filed under: Lathyrus oleraceus (garden pea)
Lineage: Eukaryota; Viridiplantae; Streptophyta; Magnoliopsida; Fabales; Fabaceae
Description: Pisum sativum (pea) long non-coding RNA (PSAT_LNC004695)
Source: RNAcentral
UUUUACCAAAAAAUUAUUUAAAUUGAUUAUGGUAUACUAAUAUUAACAGGUUGUGUACAUAAUAAAUUACAAAGAUACAACAGAAGUAAUGAGCACCAACAAUGCACAAAAGCAGCGAACAAGGCAAAAGUCGAAAUUGAAACAACAACCACAAAAAAAUCAAUAUAACUAAUCAAAAGAAGGAAAAACAAGCUAAUCAUGUCAAUAAUCUGAUCUUUUCUAAAAUCAUAGACAUAACAGAUCUCCCAAGCGAACAAGCUAGAGGGAGGUCACACAUCCACCUACACAAAACAAAAGGAAGGAAACUAGCCACCAACACACUCAUAAAUGCAAAGUCAAUUGAGCGGGUCCCGCUCCAGGGUUUGACAAAGAAAUGACAAAACCCGAAGCAUGGGCAUGAACCCGCCUUCACACCAAGCUAAUAAUCUUAGACAUCUAGUGAUUUACCAUCAAACUUUCCCGAUAAAAAAUACUUUAAUAUGUAUUUUCCAAAUAGUUUAGACCAUCGAAUCCUAGACCAAAGCCAGAACUGAAGAGUGAUGUUUACCUUGACCUAGACCCUGAAACAACUCAAACACCCCUAAGAUCAAAUAUGGAAAAGGCCCAGGACGUCACAACCACCUAAACAUUUUAUACCAAAUAGAUGAAACAACCUCACAUAAGACCAAAAGAUGAUCAACCGACUUAACAUAUCCAACGCACAUGGUGCACACCACAUUACUAAAAC